Mya arenaria is the source of this 1237-nucleotide long non-coding RNA. RefSeq lists it as uncharacterized. NCBI's taxonomy places the organism in Eukaryota, Metazoa, Mollusca, Bivalvia, Myida, Myidae. The transcript is spliced from 3 exons. The record is from RefSeq and is a predicted model, not a curated record.
AGACUGUAUCCCAUUCUCAAUUUUUCAAGCGUCCCUCAAGUACACGAAAUGUUACAUUUUGAAUAAGCAUUUAUCGAUCUGAUGCGAAUCGCGGUAAACCAGUCAUAGUGCAAGCGUCUAUUAAGCGCAUUUCAAUAAGCGUCUAGGUAGCCUGUUGUAACAGAUACGGAUACCGUAUUUUUUCGGAUAAUUAUUUUUCGGGAAAAAAUCACUCGACAGGGCGGGCUAGUGACUUGAUUUUUUCAGUCGACCGAGCGGAAAACAGCUCGACUCGGUCGAUGGUCGAGUGGGUUACGUCGAAGACUGGGCCACAAGCGCCAAUAACUUGUGUCCGGGCUGUAACUUUCCCUUGUAUGGACGGAUUUUAAAAUAACUUACCACAUGUGUUCCACAUACCAAGACGACGUGUCGCGUGCAAGACCCGUGUCCCUACCUCUAAGGUCAAGGUCACACUUAGUGUUUAUUCACAAUGGAGUGCUGCAUAUAAGGACAUAGAGUAUAGGUUGUCGUGUCCAGGCUGUAACUUUCCCUUGUAUGGACAGAUUUUAAAAUAACUUACCACAUGUGUUCCACAUACCAAGAUGACGUGUCGCCUGCAAGACCCGUGUCCCUACCUCUAAGGUCAAGGUCACACUUAGUGUUUAUUCACAAUGGAGUGCUGCAUAUAAGGACAUAGAGUAUAGGUUGUCGUGUCCAGGCUGUAACUUUCCCUUGUAUGGACAGAUUUUAAAAUAACUUGCCACAUGUGUUCCACAUACCAAGACAAUGUGUCGCGUGCAAGACCCGUGUCCCUACCUCUAAGGUCAAGGUCACACUUAGUGUUUAUUCACAAUGGAGUGCUGCUUAUAAGGACAUAUCAGUGAAGGUUGUCAAGUAUGAAUGACGUAGAACCUGGCUCGCCUUGAUCGAUUAGUGCAAGCAGCCAAAGGAUGGGGACAAUCGGAAAAGGGCCAAAUUCAUUGAAUCUUUACAGGAAGCCUCAUUGCAUGACCCUCUACAAAAAUACAACAAGGCAUUGAGAUUGAUCAACAACAACAAAAUGGCUGACUUCUUGUUUUUCUAAAAAAAGACACUCUUAAACUACCAGGCCAAAUUCAAUGAAACUUUACAGCCUCUUUUACCAGAAGAGCUAGCUGUAGAUGCAGAGAAGGUUCUACAUAGUCUAGUGUGCGUAUGUACGGACAGACGCAUCAAGAAAAGGUUCAUAGAGGCAUGCAUCGAAAACCUUGCAAACCAC